Long non-coding RNA from Leopardus geoffroyi (Geoffroy's cat), 555 nucleotides. RefSeq lists it as uncharacterized. Lineage: Eukaryota; Metazoa; Chordata; Mammalia; Carnivora; Felidae. The record is from RefSeq and is a predicted model, not a curated record. The transcript has 3 exons.
CCGGACUCCUGGAUGCCCCUCCCCCUUGCUCAACCCUCCUGCCCACGACCUCACCUCGGGCCCACAGGCCAGGGGGCGCGGAUGAACACGAGCAGAUGCGGGGGAUGCCUCCCCCGCUCCAGGCUCAGCGUCGGCCCCCGGCAUGAAAUCCAGGGUUUGGCGCAGUAAAUAUUUCGUCUCGGAAGCUGUUCUCCUUUCUCGUUCUCGGGGACCUGAGCCUUCAUCUCAUUGGAUGGAAACCAAGAUGCCCACUGUGUGACCCACACAGAGGGAGUGAGGACCUUUACAGACUGCCUGAGAAAACCGAAACAUGGCCACCGAAAACACCACUUUCCGAGUAUGGCUGGCAACAUCAAAGAAAGACCCAGAACAUUUAGCUUUUGAAGCAGAGCAGGCAGAAGAGAAGCCUAGCAAACACACCUUGAUGCCUGGACACGAGAUCCCGCUACUAAGUUAUGUGACCAGCGUUCUCCAGUUCGGUGCUUUGUUCGAGUUUCACAUUAGAGCAGGGAAUUCUGCAGCAGGCCACGUGAACAAGAAGACGUGUUCAUAUGA